Molecule: ribosomal RNA, 377 nt
Filed under: uncultured eukaryote
Lineage: Eukaryota
Description: partial 18S ribosomal RNA
Rfam family: Eukaryotic small subunit ribosomal RNA
Source: RNAcentral
CAAUAGCGUAUAUUUAAGUUGCUGCAGUUAAAAAGCUCGUAGUUGGAUUUCGGGUGGGAAUGGCCGGUCCGCCGUUUCGGUGUGCACUUGCUACGCCCACCUUGCUGCCGGGGACGUGCUCUUGAGUUCACGCUCGGGACACGGAGUCGGCGAGGUUACUUUGAGUAAAUUAGAGUGUUCAAAGCAGGCCUACGCUCUGAAUACAUUAGCAUGGAAUAACACGAUAGGACUCUGGCCUAUCUUGUUGGUCUGUAGGACCGGAGUAAUGAUUCAGAGGGACAGUCGGGGGCAUUCGUAUUUCAUUGUCAGAGGUGAAAUUCUUGGAUUUAUGAAAGACGAACUACUGCGAAAGCAUUUGCCAAGGAUGUUUUCAUUAA